RNAcentral lists this long non-coding RNA (313 nucleotides) under Physcomitrium patens. RNAcentral describes it as "long non-coding RNA (PPAT_LNC006869)". Lineage: Eukaryota; Viridiplantae; Streptophyta; Bryopsida; Funariales; Funariaceae. The record is from RNAcentral.
UUUUAUUUACUUCUACCUAUUUCUAUAUGUAAUUAUUAGCUUACAUGAUUAUGGCCGUGACAGUAGCUAAUAACAACUUGAAAAUGACAAGAAUCAACAUGAUAUAGAAUCAAUGAUCAAAUCAAUCUUUAAUAAAGCAUAACCUUGGCCAAAGUACAAGUAGACUAAGAUUCUACUACAAAUACAUAAAAAAUAAAUAAAUAAAUAAAUAAAGACAUAGGUACAUUCAACAAUACAACUAUUGCAUGAGUAGUGCUGCAUUCCACAAAAGAAGAAUCAUACAAAACCAAAGAAAUCCCUUUAAUUUCCUAUU